Molecule: ribosomal RNA, 404 nt
Filed under: uncultured bacterium
Lineage: Bacteria
Description: partial 16S ribosomal RNA
Rfam family: Bacterial small subunit ribosomal RNA
Source: RNAcentral
GACGAACGCUGGCGGCGUGCUUAACACAUGCAAGUCGAGCGGAGCGGCGAACGGGUGAGUAAAGCGUGAGUAACUGCCCCCCUCUCUGGGAUAACAGUUGGAAACGGCUGCUAAUACCGGAUAGUGGGGGAUGACUCGGGUCCUAUCAGCUUGUUGGUGGGGUAGUGGCCGAGCAAGGCGACGACGGGUAGCAGGACUGAGAGGGCGACCGGCCACAUGGGGCUGAGGUACGGCGCAAAGUCCUACGGGGGGCAGCAGGGGGGAAUAUUGCACAAUGGGGGAAACCCUGGUGCAGCAACGCGCGUGCGGGAGGACGGCCUUCGGGUUGUAAACCGCUUUCAGCCAUGACGCGGUAGUGGCAGAAGAAGCACCGGCUAACUACGUGCCAGCAGCCGCGGUAAUAC